Wyeomyia smithii (pitcher-plant mosquito) is the source of this 849-nucleotide long non-coding RNA. RefSeq lists it as uncharacterized. The transcript has 3 exons. NCBI's taxonomy places the organism in Eukaryota, Metazoa, Arthropoda, Insecta, Diptera, Culicidae. The record is from RefSeq and is a predicted model, not a curated record.
UUCGUUGCUUCACGGAUAGCCAUUGCAAAGCGUCCAACAUAAAAACAGAGGAAGUUAAUCAACAACAACAGGAAGCAAGUCAGGCUAACAAAGUAUGUCAAUUAUCUCUGGCAGAUUUUGAGAGCUGAACACUGAACAGUCACAUCUAAAACGAUUUCUUGGAUUGUUAAUAUGAUGCAAAAAAUUACUAGGCAGUGUAGAGAGGAGCAACCUGAACCAGUCAACAUCGAACCAAGUAAUGACCUGUGGGCUGCCCACGGUACUCUUGCUAGAGACGCAUUAAGAUACAAAAACAUCAACCAUAUGGUUAGAUUACUCGGAGAGCUACGGCAGUAUUUGCAUGGCGAUUUGGCACCAAUAAAUUCUGAACACUGAACAGUCACAUCUAAAACGAUUUCUUGGAUUGUUAAUAUGAUGCAAAAAAUUACUAGGUAGUGUAGAGAGGAGCAACCUGAACCAGUCAACAUCGAACCAAGUAAUGACCUUUGGGCUGCCCACGGUACUCUCGCUAGAGAAGCAUUAAGAUACAAAAACAUCAACCAUAUGGUUAGAUUACUCGGAGAGCUACGGCAGUAUUUGCAUGGCGAUUUGGCACCAAUAAAUUCUGACCCAAUUAUAGUAUGGAACCGUAUUCAAGGACAGAUUCCAACGCUUUAUGAAAUACCGAUGAAAUACAUGUCAGUUCUAGGAACAUCUGUUCCUUCAGAAGUUUAUUCAGCAAAACCGGUCAAACGUUUACAAAGCUGCGAAAUCGGCUCCCAAGACCCCACCUAGAAAUGUUCCUAAUCUAACAGUCGAGAGGAGAGGAUGCAUGGUCUCACUGACGGCACCUACUCACGUCACAGGAUG